GAUGAAGAACGUAGCGAAAUGCGACAAGUAAUGUGAAUUGCAGAAUUCCGUGAAUCAUCGAAUCUUUGAACGCACCUUGCGCCCUUUGGCCAUUCCGAAGGGCAUGCCUGUUUGAGUAUCAUGAACACCUCAACUCUUCAUGGUUUUCCAUGAUGAGCUUGGACUUUGGGGGUCUUGCUGGCCUGUGGGUCGGCUCCUCUCAAAUGAAUCAGCUUGCCGGUUUUUGGUGGGCAUCACAGGUGUGAUAACUAUCUACGCUUGUGGUUUUCCACCAGGGUAACCUUCAGCAGUGGAGGUUCACUGGAGCUUACAAAUGUCUCUCCUCUGUGAGGACAGCCCUUUGAAUGUUUGAUCUCAAAUCAGGUAGGACUACCCGCUGAACUUAAGCAUAUCAAUAAGCGGAGGA
Molecule: unclassified non-coding RNA, 406 nt
Filed under: soil metagenome
Description: partial contains 5.8S ribosomal RNA, internal transcribed spacer 2, and large subunit ribosomal RNA
Rfam family: 5.8S ribosomal RNA (bases 1-121)
Source: RNAcentral